GAUGAACGCUGGCGGCGUACCUAAUACAUGCAAGUCGAGCGAACAGACGAGGAGCUUGCUCCUCUGACGUUAGCGGCGGACGGGUGAGUAACACGUGGAUAACCUCCCUAUAAGACUGGGAUAACUUCGGGAAACCGGAGCUAAUACCGGAUAAUAUAUUGAACCGCAUGGUUCAAUAGUUAAAGACGGUUUUGCUGUCACUUAUAGAUGGAUCCGCGCCGCAUUAGCUAGUUGGUAAGGUAACGGCUUACCAAGGCGACGAUGCGUAGCCGACCUGAGAGGGUGAUCGGCCACACUGGAACUGAGACACGGUCCAGACUCCUACGGGAGGCAGCAGUAGGGAAUCUUCCGCAAUGGGCGAAAGCCUGACGGAGCAACGCCGCGUGAGUGAUGAAGGUCUUCGGAUCGUAAAACUCUGUUAUUAGGGAAGAACAAAUGUGUAAGUAACUAUGCAAGUCUUGACGGUACCUAAUCAGAAAGCCACGGCUAACUACGUG
RNAcentral lists this ribosomal RNA (497 nucleotides) under uncultured bacterium. RNAcentral's name for it is "partial 16S ribosomal RNA". It matches the Rfam family "Bacterial small subunit ribosomal RNA", at positions 28 to 507 of the family's 1533-position model. The record is from RNAcentral.